This 4671-nucleotide long non-coding RNA is filed under the name Sus scrofa (pig). RNAcentral describes it as "lncRNA (ENSSSCG00060006814.1)". Lineage: Eukaryota; Metazoa; Chordata; Mammalia; Artiodactyla; Suidae. The record is from RNAcentral.
CGCCAGCGGGUUCCUUGGAGCCGUGCUCUCCUAGCAGGCGACCACGGUACUGUUUUGGGGGGUUUCAGCCUCGGGCCGUGGGUCAGACUCUCGGGUUAAAAACCAGCGCCGCUCCUGCUUUUUCCUCUGCUUCACGGUGACUUCCUUUUCCUCUUCCCUCCUUGGUCUCCCACUCCUGGUCCGCACCUCUGUGGCCCCGGCUAGAAGAAGCGAAGCGCAAACAGGGGGCGGCGGGAGAGUGGUGUAUGUGUCGGUGCGUGUGAUCAGCUGCAGAGCCGCGCUAGCCCCGCCUGUCCCUGCCUUCCCCCGCUGUUUCACCAGCCUGAAUUGCACCUCCGCGCCUCAGUUGAGCCUGCAGUGUCUGGCAGCUCAGGAAAAAGCGAGCCCCUCCAAUGAAAAGCGACUCUAAAUCUGCCCCCCUAAGCUAACCAACUCUCCUUCCUCGCCCCCCUGCAUCAGGCAUAAAGUCCCCAGCAAGCAGCAAAUGCUGCUCUUUGAAAGAAGUACAGUAUGCCUCUAUAACUAUGGCUCUUAUUUAAACCCGGAUGCCUGGGUUUGGGGAGCAUCAUAAACAGAGACCCCAAAUGGCUUCAAGAUAGGCAUGUUCAGAACUCAGAGUUUCAAGUAGCAGAAGGGGCUCAAGAUGGGAACAGAGAAGAGGGGAGAUACUCAUAGGAAAGCUCACAACACUGCUGAAAAUGGCUCUAUUAGAAAGGCUCAGAAUGCCCGGAGUCAAUGUGUGGCUGUAAUUGAGAAAAGGCGGCUGGAUUGUAAUGUCCCAGGCCUGGCAGUUAAUGGAUGGGGCAAAGUGCAGAAAUAGCUAAUAUAGUGCCCAUGCGUAAACAUCAGCUUAUUUACCGCAUUUCAUGUUUGUUUUAAAAUGCCAUGGUCUUUUAUGGCAUGUUCCAUUCAGUCCAGAUACACAAAAUUGAUUUUGUUGGAAAAUCAUCAAAUGGUAGGGUUGUAAAAGCAAGGGGGUGCUGUAAGACUCCUCUGCAAAGGAAAAUAAGGUCAUAAUCAUUCUACUAGUUCUCUGCCAGUAAGUGCUCCCUUCUAAGUCUUUACCCCUAAACCUUAGCGUUUGGGAAGCCCUGCACCUCGUCAGCCCUAGGUAGAAAACUCUUUCUCUGCCAUUUGAUUCAAACAUUUAUCCUGGGUUACAGACUUUGCCUGCAGGCUCUGUGAUAAGAGGUCAGUGACUGCAAUUCUUUAGGAUUACAUAAAAGGGGAAAGUGACACUGUGGGAGGUGGAAACUGCUCUGGGCCUGAAUCAUAAGACUUGAUAUGAGUUCUGGCCCUGCCAUUUACAAACUGUGUGACCCUGGGCAAGUUGCUAAAUAUCUUUGAUCCCCAACUUUCUAUUCACAAAAACUGGAAGUUUGAACAUCUUCCCAAAGUUGGUACCUGAAAAAGAGAAUGCCUGUGGUUAUAUUAACUACUUUUGCUGUGAAGGAUGUCAUAUCCUGGGCUGUAAAGUUGCAAUAAGGCCAAGAGACAAGAAAUGAAUGUUUGGAGUUGGCCCCAUGCUGUGAGCUAACACAUAUUCUUCUCUCAUCUCUGUCUACUCUCCCGCUAAAUCAUGGUGCCCUUGCCAAACUAGCUUCUUUCAAUUCCUAAAACCCACUGAACCACAAUCUCCAUCCUGCACCUUUGCCUAUCUGUGUUCUCUUUUUGGAAUGUUCUUAUCCUGGCACUCUGUGUUGCUGACUUCCUGAACUCAGCAUGAAUUCGUCCUCCUCAAGAAGCCCCUUCACUAGCCUCCCAGGUACUCCCUAUCAUAUGGCUAGUUCAUUGAUAUGGUUUCUCUAUCCACCUCCAUCAGAGUCCUGGAAUGUAAGGGCAAGAACUUGAGCUGUCUUGUUCACUGCUAGACCCCCAACACCUAGAGCAUUACCUGUUACAUACUAGGUCCACAAUAAAUAUUUGUUGGGUCAAUAACAUGCAUCAAUCUACAUACAUCAUUAGAAACACCACAUACAGUAGUGCAGAAUUAAAAGUCAUCACUAAAUCAAGUCACUUAAAUAAUUUAAAGUAAAAGAAUACAUAAAUUUUAAGAAAGUAAUUCUUCCUGUGCUUGUUAGCUUUAGAACUGGUAUUCAAUCAGCUGCAAAUCCUUUUCAUUGUCCCCCUGUAAUAUCUCUCUUUAAAAAAUGCUACUUUCUUCAAAUUCCCAUUUCAUUUUAGGCCCAAAGUCAAAUAAUGUUCUUGCCUUCAGUCUCUUACUCCUUCAAAUUGUGCUACUUAGUAUUACUAGUUCCUUAGAAUCAUGUAUAUGAUUAGCAGUGGCUUUGGAAACCAAAGAGCUCUCUGAUUAUUUCAUUUGGUUAUUUUAUUUUCUUGUUUGUUUGUUUUUUGCUUUUUAGGGCUGCACCCUCAACAUAUGGAGGUUCCCAGGCUAAGGGUCAAAUCAGAGCUACAGCCACUGGCCUACUCCACAGCCACAGCAAUUUGGGAUCCAAGCCACAUCUGUGACCUACACCAUAGCUCACGGCAAAACCAGAUCCUUAACCCACUGAGCAAGGCCAGGGAUCGAACCUGCAGCCUCAUGUUUACUAGUUGGAUGGAUUCAUUUCUGCUGCACCACAAUGGAAGUGCCCGAUAAUUUCAUUUUCAAGCUUUUAAACAUUCCCACCUUUUGAAAAAACACUUUUCUAUGAAAAACCUUCCCCAUUCCCAAUAAUCAAGUUUAUAAGCAAAUAAUUUUAUGCUUCAAGAGACAUGGUCUAGUCCAGGGAUCAAAAAGGGAAAAUGCCAAUGUCACAGUUACAGAGCUAAUAAGUGGAAACUUUGAGAUUUGAACCCAAGAUAAUGUAUCUCCAGAAGCUGGCUGCUCUGCCAUCUCUUACCAGGUACCUAGAAAAAGAGUCCACAGUUCCUGAUCCCUAGCCAGUGUCUCCCUCUGCUCCACCACACUCCUUGUGUAGCUUUAGAUCUAAGGUCUGCCAGAAUAUGGCUUAACCUAUCUUUCCAAAAUUAGCUCCUACCUUCUUUUUAAUGUGGUCUCUGUUCCAGGCAACUUUAUUAGCAAUUCCUCAAACAUUCCCUACAUUAACUGCAUUUGUUCAAUUUCUUUCCUGUCACUUAAAUAUUCUUUUGCUAUCCCCACAAAAGCCAAAUUACUAUCUCUAGUGUACACAUGAAGGAAGUGAAAAAUUUCUUCAGCUUUGAUUUCAAGUGCCAUCUUCCCUGCCUUCAUCCCAUCCUCCCACUAGCUGUAAUCCAUCAAUUCCCUGAAUGCUUACUCCCCUAGAUUUACAAUUUUGUGGUAUUUUCUUUUUAGCCUAUAUCUGAGCUCAGAAUUCACCAAGAUUUCCCCCAUUAAAUAGUAAGCACCCUGAGCAUUCACCUGUUACUAUUUCAAACCAUCCAGCACUCCAGUUAUCCAACCUUGUCUUGCAAAUGAAAAUAUUUAAUGCAUUUUUAGUGAGGACUAAAAUGUCUUGAGCCCAUUUUAACGUGCCAAGCAACUUGCUUGGAACUUUACUGUUAGUCUUCCCAUUACAUAGCUAGCAAUAUGGUAGAACAGGGAUUCACAAAUCGUGCCUGCCCAUUUUCAAGGUUUUAAUUCUUUUAGACAAAUAGUACUGCCUGAUAAGUUAAAGAUUUUUUCAAGAUGUCAUCAUGUCAUACUUUAAAUGUUUCUGAGCCUUUGAUCUAUUUGUGACAUUGAGUCCAACUCCUUGAAAAUGUUUAAAGAUGAACCAAACUCAUCUUCCCCUGUCAGGACAGCUGCUUCCAUGAUGAGGUUCUGGAAGGCAGCCAGCCCCAUGGUGCUGAGGCCAGGCAAGAUGUGUGGGGAAUGGAUGACAGAAGGCCACCUAAUCAGGUGCUGUCUGAUGAACUGAAGUGAAACACUGUAAACAGAAUGGGUCAAAGGAAGGAGAGGCACACAAUUUCAGCCAAGGCCGCAAAGCCAGAAUGAUCUGGAAAAUAUAACUACAGAAAACACAAUCAUUUGGAGUCUAACAUCUAAACAAACCACCAUACAGUUCUUAAUUGGGGAGUGGGGAGUGGGGGUGGGUCAAAGCUAUAUUUAACAACAAACUCAAUUCAAAACCAACUACAUAUUUAUUCUUUCCAUAAAGUAUUGCUGGCAACGUCUUAUUUGCUGUGUCCAAAAUUAGGAAUAGCAUAAAUAAAUGUAACUUUAAAAAUGAAAGAUAUGAUUCUGUGUUUUAAUACUGAAAAAGCAUGACUUUGCACAUGUACUCACCCUAUUAUAUAACUGAACAGUGUGGAGAAAAGAGUAUAUUUAAUGUAAAAGAAAAAAACCUCUGCCCCUGAGAAGUCCAAAUUCUAAAAAUGAUUUAAUCCACCAACUGUGAAAAAAGCAAGGCUUUGAACAUCUCAGCAUACCUGGAGUCCAUCACCUUGUCAGUCACUUAUUGCUACUGUGACUGCCACCAGGGGACAGUCUGCAUGGCCAGAAAUAUUAAUUACUCCCAGGUGAAAACGGAAUUAUAUUUAAUACUCCUUUACUCCCAACCCUAGCAUUCUCCAAAGUCAAGUGAAGAGAUGGGCAGGCUUGGGAAUCUAAAGCUAUUAUGCUUCAAAAGGUGACACAUUCCCAUUAACCACCAUAAGUUCUGCUAUAUCUGGGAAGAGGUCACUCUUUGAAAUUCUAUAUGCAAUUUUGGGCAAUAGAAUGGUGUUCUUUUUUUUUCUUCAACC